This is a non-coding RNA of Phascolarctos cinereus (koala), 4993 nucleotides long. The record is from RefSeq and is a predicted model, not a curated record. NCBI's taxonomy places the organism in Eukaryota, Metazoa, Chordata, Mammalia, Diprotodontia, Phascolarctidae.
AGGAAACACAAGACAUGAGGUUAGGACUAGGCCUUCUUAGAGGUUAAGAACAGCCAUAUAGCAAUAUCCCGCCCAUACCACCCCUACCUCCUACCUCUAUGGAAAUGCUAAGUCUGGAUUAUAGCAAACUACUUUUCAACUCUUCAGUCUGGGAUUGUACUAGAAAAGCAAUAAUGAAGAACCCUAGAGUAGAAGUCAAGACAUGAGGCUUGGUCUGUCUAGAUUUGUGACUUUGGACAAAUCAUCACCCUCUCCCUUGCCUCAGUUGCCUCUUCUGUAAAAUGAGAGUUGGAUUAGAUGUCUACCAAGGUUCCUUCCAACGCACACAUCUCCAAAUCCCCGCCAUCUUUGACAUCUGUGUUCUAACCAUCUGCCUUCUGAGAAAGUCACUAGGAACUUUGACAUUCUACAUCAUCAAGCCCCUUUCAGCUGACAUUCUAUGUUCUCAGGUCACUUUCUGCUCCAACAUUUUAUGGUCUAACACCCUGUGUUCUAGGGUUCUACAGUCAACCUAAUAGGUCCUAGCUCAAAACCCUCCUCCUCCAAGAAGCGGCCUGAUCAUCUAUCCCACCUACUCUUCACACCGUGCCCCCUUAACAGUCACAUAAACAGGCCACAAAGAACUGUUACAUGCUUCUUCAUAUGUUGCUUUGUUAUCUAGUAGUUAUGAAUACAAUGUAAUCCCUCAUAUUUAUGUAGCCCUUUUCAAAGCUCCCUAGAAACUGUUACUUCCUUGCAUUGUCCCAAACCUCUGUAAGUAUAUGGAGCAAAUAUGAUUUCCCCCUAUUUUACAGCUAAGAAGACUGAGGCCCAGAGAAAGGAAACACCAGGCCACCCAGCGAUUCUAAGGUAUGUCUCAGGUCUUGUCUAGAUGGUAAAUCUUAGAGGAAAUACCAAGUUUGGGAGGACUUUGAUUCAGAGGGCUCAUUUUAAGGAUGAGGAGGUAAAACACCUUGCCCAAGGCCAGCCAGUCAACAAGCAUUUAUUAAACACCUACUGUGUUCCAGACACUGUGCUACGCCCCAAAGAUUUACAGGUGGCUGAGGCAGGAUUUGAACCAGGCUCUUUCUGACUCUAGAUUCAGUUCUCUUUGUCUGCUGCGCCUGGGGUGGGGUGGGGGGGUGGGGAAUGGGACUCUUGUUUUCUCCUGCCUUUAUUUCCCUCUUAGCACACAGCACUAUCUUACUCUGUGGUUGGAAGGGACUCAAAGGCUAUCAUGUCCAACUGAGGCUCACAGAGGUAAAGAGACUUGCCCAAUGGUACCCAGACAGUCCUAGCAGGGACAGGAUUUGAUCCCAGAUUCUUGGCCUCAAGAGCCAGCGUUCUUUUCUCUUCCGCUGCUCUCUCUCUCUUAUUAUUCCUUCUUCUCAUCCCUUUUCUGCUCAGAGUCUCUCUGCUGCCUAUGAGAUCAAAUUCAAAUUUCUUAACCUAGCAUUCUAGGCCCUCCAUGUUUAGGCCAGCUUGGCAUAUUUCUUGUCCCAUCUGACCCUAUUCCCCAACCCUGCCAUGGACUCUCUUUACCUGCCGACCCCAAACACUUUCCUACAUCUGUCAUUUCUUAUGCCUGGAAUGUCUUUUGUCCCUUUCCCUACCCAAUCUCCCCCAGUGGAAAACAUACCCAUCCCUUAUAAGGCCUUGGUCAAAUGUCACCUUCUUCUUGAGCCCUGUCAGAAGGUAAUAAUAAUCCUUUCCUUCUUGGACCUCAUUUGGUUUGUAAUUCUCAUGUACAUAAAAAAAUUUGUCUGUAUAUGUCUCUUAUUACCCAACUAGACUUUAAGGUCUGUGGGAGUGGGGACAGGGUCUCAUCUAAAUUUCACAUCUUUCCCAGGCUGAUGCAGUACUCUGUACACAAUAGGCAAUAAUGUUUUCUGAAGUUGAAGCAGUAAUUCCAUUAUGAUCAGUAAGCAUUUCCUGAACUGGUCAUGCCAGAGAAACUGAGGAAAUAGGCACAACAAAUCUCAAACCCACAGGGUUCCUGCCCUUGGAGAUGAGCUGAUCACUUGUUUUCCCUUAGCCCUAAAUAUCUGAAAUUACUAUGGGUCUGGCCUUUAUAUUUCAAUCUGACAUCCAACUGGGGGUUGUUAGAGGCCUGGGAUAGCCGCACAUCAUCAGCUUUUCCCCCAAACCUCUUUUGGGCUCCUUGGGAAUCUCACUCCUUGCUACCAGGCUUCAAGACUUGGAAAAAGCUUCUUCUCUGGUUCAGAGAAGGGCUGACUCUUUUCCAAUCUGGGGACACGGAGAGGCUAGGUCUGGGAAUUAUUGACCCCUCUUCUUUCUCACAGAACUUCCCCUCCACCCCAGCCAAGCCCCUACCUCCCUCAUCAACCUCAUUGAGCCUUUGUCCUUCCUGAACCUGCAUUCUCUUCCCUGAACUUUCCCUGAACAAGAGUUUAGUCCCUGGACCCUUCCCUGAGCCCCUAUCUCCAAUUCACCUCCCAUCUUUCCCAGUCUUUCUUCUAGCUGAGCCCUCAUCCUACUCACUUAACCCUCACCCUCUUCCCUGAGCCCCUAUCUCUGAUUCACCUCCCCCUACUCAAUCUUUCUUCUAAAUGAGCCCAAAUCCUUUCCCCUGAGCCCCUUUUCCCAACCUCUCAGGCCCUAUCCUCUUACUGAUUCCCCCAUCCCUAGCUCUCAUCCUUCUCCCUAAGCCUCCACCCCCAGAACCUGCCUUUCCUCUCCUCCAACAGAGCCCAGAGGACAAUGGGAAGCUCCUCUCCCAGAAGCCAGAGAGGCCUCAGCAGACAGCCUCACCCACACUGUCAGAACAUGCCUGCGCUAAACCCAUGACUAUGGCCACAUGAGCCAAACCCUCAGCAUGGCCCCAGGGCUGGAGAAGGAACCAUCGCUCAGGGAACAGUGACGAAAUCAGGAGCAGGGAUGGGGACAGAGUCUGCUCCCCACUCCUCCCACCACCUUCUCUGGCCCAAGCACAUUCAAAUUCAGCUCAGCAUCCCCUUCUUUGUCUCCAGGACAUUCAGCAAUGCGGAUGGCUGUUUGGCUGUUAGUGCUGCUGAGGUCAGGCCUGCCAGGCACCCAGGAGGAAUGUUGGUUUGGAGAGUACAAGGCCAGCUUCCCUGGCUAAAGCCCCAUCGAUGUUCUGCAAGAAGCCCUUCCUGGUCCCUGUCAAUGCCAGACCCUUCUACAUACUGAUCAUCUCCCACAGAUUGAUCUGUACUGAAGUACCUGCAUGCUGCUUCCCCCAUUAGACUGGGAGCUCCUUGAAGGAACAGCACUGGCCGGGACUGUAUCUCCUGUCUCUGCCCUGACUCCCCGAGUCACCAAAAUUCAGAAUUGGAAAGAACCUUGGAGGCCAGCUAGCCCAACCUACAAAAGAACCAAGCAGCGGUCACACAGCCUUCCCUGGAAGACCUCUAGAGGAGGGAGGGACCCUGCUCCCAUUCCACUUCUGGGAAGCUCACCUGGCCUGAACUCAAGGCCCAUUGCCAACCUGGUCUCCUGUCCCUGGACCUGCACCAGCUUAUCAACAUCCUUCCUACCACUUGGACUGAACACACUACUCCAGCUGGAUGGCUCAGGGGACAGAGUGCUGGGCCUACAGUCAGGAAGAAAAAGAAACUGAGACUCAGAGACUUGCUAAAGGUCACCCAAUGACAGAGCACGGAACAGAGCCCAGCUUCCUGAUGGCUGGUCCACUACGGCCAACCUCUUUGCUGACAUCAUUGCCCACUGUGCCCAAGUCCUUUGUUGGUACUCUUACUUCCUCAAUUAAUUCUCACUUUCCUCUUGCAUCUGGAAGCUCUCCCCACCCUCUCAGCUCCUGGGAAAAGCCUUAUGAAUCCAGACACUAAAUCAUCCCCAUUUCCCAGACCCAUACAAACAUGGGGAGGCUGCUGGGUUGCUGAGCAAUCAGUGCUGUCUAUUUCCAGUAUGGGGUGGGGAGCAGGGAGAGGAUGAACAGGGAGCAGGAUGGGGAAGCUGGAUGCCGUCCCAGGUGCCCCUGAGCCAGGAUCUUCACUGGGCAACUUCCUUAUUUGGUUUGACACGCUGUGACUUGCCAUGAGGUCAGACACCCCCAUAUUCCAAUAGAAGAGCAGGAUCUAACAGACGGGGCUUUCUGAUAAUUUGACACUUCUGUAUUAUCUAGGAGUCCUUUCUCUCUCUAAAAGAAGGGUGAAAAGUUGACCUUUUCUAACUCUAAAUGAAAACCUCCCCAGCCUGUCUCUGGCCUCUGGUACUAAGGGCUCAUUGCCAGUCAGCUGGAGCUCAGUGAACUAAAUCUGUGACUGUCCACCCUCUACCUCCUCCCUACCCCCCCCCAAAAAAAAGCCAUGUGAUAAUUCUCAGGCUAAAUAGAAAUGAAUGUUGGAUAUCUGUGAUUCUGGAUUAUCUGUGCCAUGGUCACUCCUCCACUGGUAUGGAUCAUGAGUUGAUUGUGGGUGGAAUGGUAGGUUUUUGGCUUUUUUUCACCUCACAGGCAUUUGGGAAUUUGGGAACAAUGGGUGGGGCAGUCAGAGCUUGGGAGGGGAGUCUGAGAGGGUAUAACUGAAGCUUAAGAGCACCAAAUCACUAAGGCCUCUUCUCCCCUUGCUCUAAGCCAGACUCCAUGUAGAAUCCUACUGAGCAGGAGUAAGCCAAGAUGGCUCAACAUUGGUCCCACGGUUGUCUUAGAUCGUCUAGAGGGAAAAAAUCAAAACCCAAACUACCAGAAAGGCAAACUGAGGGAGGAGGGCUAAACAGAAGAUAGAGUAGGAGGUUGAGAACAAGGUCAGGCUGGCAUCUCCUGGCUCACCUUUGCUCCAAAUCCACAGAGAGGGAUGUCUGAAUUUUGUAAAGCCCCAAUGGGAAGCCACUUGGAGGAUCACUGUGUGUCCUGCUGGUCACCCAGUGACCACCAGCUCUUAACAGCUGGAUAUGCCUGUUGUCUGCCCUUGUACAAACAGAUGAUCCACCUGUCAAAUUGUUUCUCUCUCUUCGUCUACGUCUCUUUCUCUCUCCCUCCCUCUCUCACUCUCUGUCUCUCUCAUUCACACAC